AUUUCUGAUUUACCGCUAUCAGCGGAAGGGGUCUUGGGUGAUAAGUUAGAAACUACACUAAAGUCAAGGAAAGAAAAAAAUAAGACUUUAGAAGAUUUAUUACCUGAUUUCCAAAAGUUUGAUAAAAAGCGGAAAUCAAAUUUUAGUACAAACACAAAUGCCAAAAGGAGCUGUUUGGAAAAAGAUAAAGGAUCCUCAAAUAAGGAUGAUUUUCGGAUCUCUAGAAUUGCAAAUAAUAAAGGAUUCAAGAAAAAUUUUGACAAGACACAGACGCCAGAGAGUGAAAGGCAGUCAAAAACAGAAGGUUUCUAUAAGAAGUCGCCAUUUCCUGCUAGAGGAGGAAAGGCAUUUAAUAAAAGAUGACAAGAAAGCACAUUACAGUCGUAUUAAUACUGCAAGAAGUUUGGAAGAUAGAUGUGAUGGAGGAGCAUUAAGAUUACAGAAUCAUGGGUCGCUAUCCAGGGAAACGUUGCAAGAUGAUACAUGGUUACGACCUAGCACAGCCAAUAUAUAACGCCAUGUCAUAUAUAUCAGUAUAUACACACUAGUGAUUGUAUACUAUAGACCUUUCCUUUACUAAAAGCUGAAUGUCUGUUAUAACACUAAAUUAUUUCUUGUUUUUUUUUCCUAUUUGUAUUUUUAAUUUUCAACUCAAUUUUUAAAUUUUCAAGAAUUAACUUUAGAUUUGUAUUUUGAAUUUCCAUUUUUUUAAGUUCAUUUUCAAUUUAGUUCCUAUUUUAAUAAUUAAGUUCCUAUUUUAAUAAUUAAGUCCCUAUUUUAACAAUUAAGUAUUAAGUUCCUAUUUUAAUAAUUAAGUCCCUAUUUUAACAAUUAAGUUCCUAUUUUCAAAAUUAGUUUAUAAUUUUAAAAUUUAAUUUAUAAUUGUAAAAUUUAAUUUAUAAUUGAUUUUAAUAAUUAAGUUCCUAUUUUAAUAAUUAAGUCCCUCUUUUAACAAUUAAGUUCCUAUUUUGAAAAUU
Molecule: long non-coding RNA, 977 nt
Organism: Patella vulgata (common limpet)
Lineage: Eukaryota; Metazoa; Mollusca; Gastropoda; Patellidae
Exons: 4
Source: RefSeq, a predicted model, not a curated record